AGUGCAGGUCUGCAGGAAGGGCCUGCCUCCACUCAUGCAGGUACCUGGGAUCACCUGUCCAUUGGCUACACUGCCCUUUAGGGCCUCCAAAUCCCCAGCUGAAUUAUUCCCAUCCAUCUAGUAGGAAAGGAAAAAAGAAUGUUGAAGGAUCAUGCAAAAUGUUUUAGGGGCCAGUCCUGGACGUAAAAUAUGUUACAUUGGCUAGAAUGCUGUUACACAUUGCCACCUAUUUCAAGAGAUGCUGAGAUUUGGAGUCUUCUUGGGUGCCCAGAGAUUUGAGUAUCACCUAGCACUGUUUCUGCUUCAGUAUAUGCAAUGCAACUUUAUUCUGUUAAAAACAGGAGGUCUAUCAAUAGUUUCUUACCACAAGGGAAAUGGAAGUAGAACUCUGAAGCUAAAUCAGAGGACUCCAAGCAAAUGAAGUGACUGAAAGCAAGAAUGGCUCAUUGCCCUUGAGCUACACAGAAAUGUAUAGGUGGGUGUAUUGGGUCGGUUCCCUGGAAGCACAACCUCAGAUGGGGAUUCUUGUGCAAAAGAUACACGGAGGAAGAGCUCAAGGAAGUAACUUGCAAUGAAGCAAGGGGAGCAAGCUGGAGCAGGAGAAAAGAUCAGGCAAAGGCAUGCUUUCAGAAGUCUAGCCUCGGCCUCAUCCACAGGGAGCUCCAGAGAGUGAAUGGUACCAUGCAGCUGGUCAACCUUCUUGGAGGAGGGAGCUGCUGAUAGCCUUCAGUAGACAGCACUUGCACUAGCCAAGGGAUGAGUGCACCAGCCCAGUGGAGGGGAUCUGGGUAGAGCACCUAUGCCAUCUGCUAUAAUAGGAAGGACAUGCUUUUCCUUUUCGUAUCCUCUACCUGAAGCAAUAUAUCACGUACUCAGCAGACGCUCAAUAAGUGUUUGAGAAAUGAAGAAACAAAAAGACAGAGGGAAGGAGAGAAGAAAAGAAACAAGAUUACAGAAAAUUCUAAAAUACUCUUGGGCUCCAAGAAAUGCAUCUUCAAAUAAGGAACUUCACAUACUUAUGCUGAGCAAUGAGAGAGAUAUUUUGAGAAACCUGAAAAAAUAAGAGAACUUUGAGUUUUCAGUGCUCUGGAAAUGGCAAAAAGGAAUCCCGCCAUGGACGACCUGCUCCUUGCUCCAGCCUGGCCAGUGCUUUGAAGUGAUAACACCAAGAGUUGCUGUUUAGGAAGGCAAGGAAGAAACAUCAGUGUCUCGUCUAGCCUCAGAAAAAAACGACUUCCUAUUUUUACUACUGUUAUGAAUCCCUCACUCAUGGACACCUUUGUGACGUGACUUCCAAGUUGCUAUUCUAUUUUCUGGCUGGAACCUGCAAACUCCAAUCUGGAAGUAUAUCUCUUUAGGGAAAGGGAAGGAAGACCAGAACCAGUGUUUAUUAAAUACCUACUAAA
This is a long non-coding RNA of Homo sapiens (human), 1406 nucleotides long. The record is from Ensembl. NCBI's taxonomy places the organism in Eukaryota, Metazoa, Chordata, Mammalia, Primates, Hominidae.